UACGUAGGCAGCGAGCGUUUGUUCGGAAUUACUGGGCGUAAAGAGUGUGUAGGCGGUGCUCUAAGUUCGGUGUGAAAUCUCCUGGCUCAACUGGGAGGGUGCGCCGGGAAACUGGAGUGCUUGAGCGUGGGAGAGGAAAGCGGAAUUCCUGGUGUAGCGGUGAAAUGCGUAGAUAUCAGGAGGAACACCUGUGGUGUAGACGGCUUUCUGGACCAUAGCUGACGCUGAGACACGAAAGCGUGGGUAGCAAACAGGG
This 256-nucleotide ribosomal RNA is filed under the name uncultured bacterium. Its description in RNAcentral is "partial 16S ribosomal RNA". It matches the Rfam family "Bacterial small subunit ribosomal RNA", at positions 524 to 777 of the family's 1533-position model. The record is from RNAcentral.